Molecule: long non-coding RNA, 932 nt
Filed under: Nicotiana tabacum (common tobacco)
Lineage: Eukaryota; Viridiplantae; Streptophyta; Magnoliopsida; Solanales; Solanaceae
Description: long non-coding RNA (NTAB_LNC010584)
Source: RNAcentral
ACACCAUUUCAAGAAUCCAAGAUUUGAACUCAUUCGACACGACGUCGUUGAGCCAAUAUUGUUAGAAGUUGAUCAGAUUUAUCAUUUGGCAUGUCCAGCUUCUCCUGUUUCUUACAAGUAUAAUCCAGUCAAGACCAUCAUAUCCUUUCACAUUUUGAACUGAUCUGUUGUUUAUUAUGUUUCUAGCACGAGUUUAAGUUUUAUAUACUAAUAGAGUAAAAGAUAUUUUUGUCAUCUAAAUAGUAAAUAUAUGUAACCGCUCACAAAAAAUGAAAUUAGCAACAUGGUAAGAAGUCAAGUUUUUGGCGGUCAACCCUUGACUAAAAUAUAAUACUAAUAGUGUAAAAUUUCUUUACAUCGUCGGUACAUAUAAGUUAAAUUCUUUAAGCAUUAGAGGUACUCAAGUAAUAUACUCACUCUUUUUUAUUUGAGAAUUUGUUAUAUGUUGCAAUUUUUCUGUCUAUAUUUGCAAUAAAGUCGGUGUUAUAGUCCAUUACAUAUCUUCUUUUAAUUAUACAACAAUUUUCAUAGGAGAUCAAUAAAUAAAAUACAGGAUCAUUUUCUUUUAUUCAAAUUGUAACUAAUUAUAGCAGAUCAUUAUUUCCAUGAGAAAAAUAUAGUAUAUAUUGUUUUGAUUUACAAGCUUGACUCUAGAUAUGUAAACAUGUAAAUCUUAUAAACUCUGUGAAUUAUAUAAAUAUGUAUUUCACUGCAUAUAAUUGUAAAUAUGUAAAGCAUAUAUGUUUGUAUUUUGGAGGUUUUUGUUUGCCUUGACUUUAAAUUGGAUAGAUAUCACAAAACAAAUGUGAUGGGAACAUUGAACAUGUUGGGAUUAGCAAAAAGAAUAGGAGCUCGAUUUUUGCUUACAAGCACAAGUGAAGUAUAUGGUGAUCCAUUGCAGCAUCCUCAGGCUGAAACUUACUGGGGCAAUG